UGACUGUGCAAAGGUAGCAUAAUCAUUAGUUUUUUAAUUAAAAGCUUGUAUGAAAGGCUGGACGAGGUAAAAUCUGUCUCUAUUUAAAUUAAAAUAGAAUUUAACUUUUAAGUUAAAAGGCUUAAAUAUUAUUAAAAGACGAGAAGACCCUAUAGAUCUUUAUAUUUUAUUAAGUAAAAUUAAUUUAGAAAUAUUUAUAUUUUAUUUAAUUAAAUUAUUUUAUUGGGGUAAUAGAAAGAUUUAAUUAAUUCUUUUUUAUAAUAAACAUUAAUUUAUGAAUGUUAAUGAUCCAGUUUUACUGAUUAUAAGAUUAAGUUACCUUAGGGAUAACAGCGUAAUUUUUUUAGAGAGUUCAUAUCGAUAAAAAAGUUUGCGACCUCGAUGUUGGAUUAAAGAUUAUUUUAGGUGUAGAAGCUUAAUAAUUUUGGUCUGUUCGACCAUUAAAUCUUU
This 450-nucleotide ribosomal RNA is filed under the name Carabus yokoae marcilhaci. RNAcentral describes it as "partial 16S ribosomal RNA". The stretch from base 326 to 450 matches the Rfam family "Bacterial large subunit ribosomal RNA", at positions 2473 to 2597 of the family's 2925-position model. The record is from RNAcentral. Lineage: Eukaryota; Metazoa; Arthropoda; Insecta; Coleoptera; Carabidae.